AGACAGCUGCCAACACACUGAGCAGCCUGUGAUGCUUGCCUCAGUCCCAAAGUGCCGCCCUCUGGUGGCACAUGAUGAUGUCACUAAAGGAGCUCCACGAUGCUUGUGAGAUGGAGAAGACUUCCUGUCCCAGCUUUGACCAAUGCUGGGACAUAUUUUUCCACUAACUACGAGAUAGACACAUCCUUUCACUGACUCAUGUCCACAACACCUCCCUGCAAUGAGACACCCAGUCAUAUAAGGAUAUUUUGAGGCUGUCUAGAAACUGACCAAAGGAGAAGAUUGCCACAUUGCUUGAUCUGAGCUGCCCCAGAAAAAAACAGGACAUGAACCUCGAGAGCCUGAGCUAACAUCUAGAAAUCCAGCUCCCUGGAAGCUGCCUGCUAAAGAGAUUAUGUGAAGUGACUACAAAGAGACACAGGGAGUUGCCUGAGGAGCUGCCGCUAUUCCAGCUCCAGCCAUUGGAGUCUUCCAGCCCAAGCACCAGACAACUGAGUGAAGAAGUCUUUGAGAUGACUCCACGCAGCCAUCAUCUGACUGAGACCUCGAGCUGGAGCCACCCAGUUGAGCCACAGCAAAUUCCCAGCUCAUACACAUUGAAUAGUUUUUAAGAAUACUCCUGCUGCCCACUGUGCUGAUUCAACUGAUGCCAUGGAAUAAGAAUUCAAAACUAGAAGUUGUCAAGCAGUAAAAGCACACCCAGUAAGUCCAGCACUCACCAUUGGAAGUACUUGGAUAGUGGAAGAAGACAGGAUUUAACAGGUCAAGAAGAUUACUCUCGAUAAUGUGAGUGGACCUCAUCCCAUCAGUUGAAUGUCUUAAGGUAAAACCUGAGGUUUCCUGGAAAGGAAGGAAUUCUGCCUCAAGACUAUAGCACCGUAGCAUAGAAAUCAUGCCGGAGUCUCCCUCCUGUUGGCCUGCCCUGUGGAUUUGGGGG
This is a non-coding RNA of Microcebus murinus (gray mouse lemur), 937 nucleotides long. The record is from RefSeq and is a predicted model, not a curated record. Lineage: Eukaryota; Metazoa; Chordata; Mammalia; Primates; Cheirogaleidae.